This 204-nucleotide long non-coding RNA is filed under the name Lathyrus oleraceus (garden pea). Its description in RNAcentral is "Pisum sativum (pea) long non-coding RNA (PSAT_LNC020038)". Lineage: Eukaryota; Viridiplantae; Streptophyta; Magnoliopsida; Fabales; Fabaceae. The record is from RNAcentral.
CUUUUGUUGUUAGGAUGUAAUUAGAUGCUAAUGUUAGAAUUAGUACUAAAUGAAAUAUUGUUAAAAAAUAUAUAAUAGAAUCCAUCCAUCCACCUUUAUAAACCAUAAAAAUUACCCCUUCCAAAGAAAACAUAAAAAUAAAGGCUUCUCCCUUUAAAUCAAUUACAAAUCCUACAGAACAGAGGAAAGAUAUAUAUAAUCUAC